UACGGGGGGAGCAAGCGUUGUUCGGAUUUACUGGGCGUAAAGGGCGCGUAGGCGGUCCCGUCAGUCCCUUGUGAAAUCCCCCGGCUCAACUGGGGAACUGCAAGGGAUACAGCGGGGCUUGAGUUCGGGAGAGGGAAGCGGAAUUCCGGGUGUAGCGGUGAAAUGCGUAGGUAUCCGGAGGAACACCGGUGGCGAAGGCGGCUUCCUGGACCGAUACUGACGCUGAGGCGCGAAAGCUAGGGGAGCAAACGGG
Molecule: ribosomal RNA, 253 nt
Filed under: uncultured bacterium
Lineage: Bacteria
Description: partial 16S ribosomal RNA
Rfam family: Bacterial small subunit ribosomal RNA
Source: RNAcentral